UACGGGGGGGAGCAAGCGUUGUUCGGAUUUACUGGGCGUAAAGGGCGCGUAGGCGGUCGUGACAAGUCACUUGUGAAAUCUCCGGGCUUAACUCGGAACGGUCAAGUGAUACUGUCGGACUAGAGUACAGAAGGGGCAACUGGAAUUCUCGGUGUAGCGGUGAAAUGCGUAGAUAUCGAGAGGAACACCUGCGGCGAAAGGCGGGGUUGCUGG
RNAcentral lists this ribosomal RNA (213 nucleotides) under uncultured bacterium. RNAcentral describes it as "partial 16S ribosomal RNA". It matches the Rfam family "Bacterial small subunit ribosomal RNA", at positions 524 to 732 of the family's 1533-position model. The record is from RNAcentral.